CACGUAAUUAGCCGGACCCUAUUCGUAUAGUACUGUCAUUUUCUUCCUAUACAAAAGAUUUUUACAACCCGAAGGCCUUCUAAAUCACGCGGCGUCGCUGCAUCAGGGUUUCCCCCAUUGUGCAAAAUUCCCCACUGCUGCCUCCCGUAGGAGUCUGGGCCGUGUCUCAGUCCCAAUGUGGCCGUACACUCUCUCAAGCCGGCUACUGAUCGUUGCCUUGGUGGGCUUUUUUCUCACCAACUAGCUAAUCAGACGCAGGUCCAUCUUACACCGCCAACACUUUGGUUAUUAUCUCAUGCGAGAUAGUAACUUCAUAGGGUAUUAUUCGUCGUUUCCAACGGCUAUCCCCUUGUGUAAGGCAGGUUACUCACGCGUUACUCACCCGUCGCCACUAAUCCAAUUAUUUCAUUCCGAAGAAGUCUAAUAAUCUUCAUCGUUCGACUUGCAUGUGUUAUGCACGCCGCCAGUCGUUAAUCCUGAGCCAGGACUCAAACUCUA
Molecule: ribosomal RNA, 498 nt
Filed under: uncultured Anaerococcus sp.
Lineage: Bacteria; Bacillati; Bacillota; Tissierellia; Tissierellales; Peptoniphilaceae
Description: partial 16S ribosomal RNA
Source: RNAcentral